AGGAUGAACGCUGGCGGAGUGCUUAACACAUGCAAGUCGAACGGUGAAGCAGGAGCUUGCUCUUGUGGAUCAGUGGCGAACGGGUGAGUAACACGUGAGUAACCUGCCCUUGACUCUGGGAUAAGCACUGGAAACGGUGUCUAAUACCGGAUACGACCUCCGAAGGCAUCUUCUGGAGGUGGAAAGAAUUUCGGUCAAGGAUGGACUCGCGGCCUAUCAGCUAGUUGGUGAGGUAAUGGCCCACCAAGGCGACGACGGGUAGCCGGCCUGAGAGGGUGACCGGCCACACUGGGACUGAGACACGGCCCAGACUCCUACGGGAGGCAGCAGUGGGGAAUAUUGCACAAUGGGCGCAAGCCUGAUGCAGCAACGCCGCGUGAGGGACGACGGCCUUCGGGUUGUAAACCUCUUUAGUAGGAAGAAGCGAAAGUGACGGUACCUGCAGAAAAGCACCGGCUAACUACGCGCCAGCAGCCGCGGU
Molecule: ribosomal RNA, 481 nt
Filed under: uncultured bacterium
Lineage: Bacteria
Description: SSU rRNA
Rfam family: Bacterial small subunit ribosomal RNA
Source: RNAcentral